AGGUGGUGCACGGUUGUCGUCAGCUCGUGUCGUGAGAUGUUGGGUUAAGUCCGCAACGAGCGCAACCCCUGUCCUAUGUUGCCAGCAUUAAGUUGGGGACUCAUGGGAGACUGCCGGCGUCAAGCCGGAGGAAGGUGGGGAUGACGUCAAGUCAUCAUGCCCCUUAUGUCUUGGGCUGCACACGUGCUACAAUGGCCGGUACAAUGGGCUGCGAUGGGGUGACCCGGAGCGAAUCCCACAAAACCGGCCCCAGUUCGGAUCGAAGGCUGCAACUCGCCUUCGUGAAGUCGGAGUUGCUAGUAAUCGCGGAUCAGCAUGCCGCGGUGAAUACGUUCCCGGGCCUU
Molecule: ribosomal RNA, 344 nt
Filed under: uncultured Coriobacteriaceae bacterium
Lineage: Bacteria; Bacillati; Actinomycetota; Coriobacteriia; Coriobacteriales; Coriobacteriaceae
Description: bacterial SSU rRNA
Rfam family: Bacterial small subunit ribosomal RNA
Source: RNAcentral